RNAcentral lists this ribosomal RNA (930 nucleotides) under uncultured Actinomycetales bacterium. RNAcentral describes it as "bacterial SSU rRNA". It matches the Rfam family "Bacterial small subunit ribosomal RNA", at positions 68 to 1007 of the family's 1533-position model. Lineage: Bacteria; Bacillati; Actinomycetota; Actinomycetes; Actinomycetales. The record is from RNAcentral.
GGUGAACCGGGCUUCGGCCUGGGGAUCAGUGGCGAACGGGUGCGUAACACGUGGGCAACCUGCCCCAGACUCAGGGAUAACCCCGGGAAACCGGGGCUAAUACCCGAUACUCCGGUCGAACCACAUGGCUCGAUCGGGAAAGCUCCGACGGUCUGGGAUGGGCCCGCGGCCUAUCAGCUUGUUGGUGGGGUAACGGCCUACCAAGGCGACGACGGGUAGCUGGUCUGAGAGGACGACCAGCCACACUGGAACUGAGAUACGGUCCAGACUCCUACGGGAGGCAGCAGUGGGGAAUCUUGCACAAUGGGCGAAAGCCUGAUGCAGCGACGCCGCGUGGGGGAUGAAUGCCUUCGGGUUGUAAACCCCUUUCGGCAGGGACGAAGCGCAAGUGACGGUACCUGCAGAAGAAGCUCCGGCUAACUACGUGCCAGCAGCCGCGGUAAGACGUAGGGAGCGAGCGUUGUCCGGAUUCAUUGGGCGUAAAGCGCGCGUAGGCGGUUUGGCAAGUCGGAUGUGAAAUCCCGAGGCUCAACCUCGGGACUGCAUCCGAUACUGCCCGACUAGAGGUAGGUAGGGGAGAUCGGAAUUCCUGGUGUAGCGGUGAAAUGCGCAGAUAUCAGGAGGAACACCGGUGGCGAAGGCGGAUCUCUGGGCCUUACCUGACGCUGAGGCGCGAAAGCUAGGGGAGCGAACAGGAUUAGAUACCCUGGUAGUCCUAGCCGUAAACGUUGGGUGCUAGGUGUGGGCGGAUAUCGACCCCGUCCGUGCCGAAGCUAACGCAUUAAGCACCCCGCCUGGGGAGUACGGCCGCAAGGCUAAAACUCAAAGGAAUUGACGGGGCCCCGCACAAGCGGCGGAGCAUGCGGCUUAAUUCGAUGCGACGCGAAGAACCUUACCUGGGUUUGACAUGCAGGGUGAAACCCGUGAAAG